GUUUUAAGCUGCUGAAUUUUGGGUAUUUUGUUCUGUAACAACAGAAAACUAUUCUAAGUACGGACUAAAGUUCCUUCCUCCCAAGCUAACCUGAGGAUCUUCACAGAAAUCUACCCCCACUCCAGAGCUUUGCAUACCACAAGGAUCUGGGAGAGACAUCAAGUCCCAAAAUGAUUUCCAUGUUUUUCUGCUGAAUGUCUUUUAGUUUUAGAGUUAUAUAAGCAAGAGGGAUCAUUCUAGAAGAGAUUUUUCUUUAAUAAGUUUCUUUGUCAAAAGAACUUGCUGACUUCACCCACGUGGAGAAGAAAUGCUGAGUUGCUGGCUUUUAAACAAACAAACAAACAAACUAAGUUCUGCCUCACACGGCUAGGAGUGAGAGAAUUCUUACUGGAUAAUAGAAAUUUCUUCAUUGAACUAGCAAAGAAACAGCUGCUGUUCCCAUCCACCACCCGCCCCUCUCUCAGAGGAUACUUGUUGUCACAUGCUGGUAUUCUCAUGCCACGGAGUAAAUUUCAGGAGAACUGGGCAGAAGAGAGGACCAAGUGCUAGGUGUGGCAAUGUGGCAAAUUUCAGGCCACUGAACUAAGAGUAGAAAUGAUACAGGCAAAAUCAUGAAUCAUCCAGGAGUCCACAUGUUCUAGAUGACCAUCUUCUUCCCCUUCCUGGAAUACAGACCUUGCUGCAUCCCAGCUUCUACCAUAUAGAUGAAGACAAGGCAGAGGCAGGCACCCCUCUUUCAAGAUGUCUGCCCUCCAGAAUGCUGAAACAAGUGAUCUUUCCUAUGACCUCUCAAUAGAUGUUGCAACACAUUUUAGAGAAACAACAGACAAGGGUCUCAAGUAACUGUGUCUUGGGUCCUGCUCCACCUCUGGAGAUUUAUGAGCGCUCCAGAGUUUUUCAGCAGUGAAGGAAAUAGAGACCGACAAUGUGGAACCUUUUGUUUCUGAAAGGAGCCUGAAAUCAAUAUGCCUUGGGCCCAUGAAAGGCAUAGUGCAGGCCUGACUAGUGGGUCUGUUGGUAAGAACAGAAGUGUUCUCUUCUCAAGACAGCGGUGGGUCCCUGAAGCCAUGGAUAAUAACAGACCCUAUACAUAAAGCCAGAAAAGCCCAAGGUCAAAUUUUCAGCCUCUGGACUGGGGACACCUGCCAUUUGCGAGCAGCAUCCUGCCCUUGUGGACCUCAGAAAGGUUUCCCUGCUGGCUCCAGAUGUGGGCUCUUGACACCUGUCUGACUCUGAUGCAUUUGGAAACAGCACUUUCUGGUGGCAGUGACCACUAGCAACCCUGAUUUAGACAUGGUAAAAAGAGCACAAUGAUGACGAACCUGACUAUUUUUCAAAGCACAAGUCCAGACAGUCUGAAAUAAGAUUUCCUCCCCUAUUUGUAUGUAUUUAAAUUUUAAAUAUUUACAUUUGUAUACAUUUUAAUAUUUUG
Molecule: long non-coding RNA, 1432 nt
Organism: Heterocephalus glaber (naked mole-rat)
Lineage: Eukaryota; Metazoa; Chordata; Mammalia; Rodentia; Bathyergidae
Source: Ensembl